UUUGGAGGAAAAGAACUUCGCAAACCAAAAAAAACCCAGGAAAAUUGUUUAAAAUUUUCAGGGUUAAUAACGUUUGAUGUGUUUUCUAGGAAUAUAUAUAUAUAUGUAGCCAUGUUCUUUAUACCUAGCUAAGUCUCCAGUUUAUAUUUAAGUGACUAGCUAUUAGCUGCUGUAGCUAGCUAAUGCUAGCUUUAAACUAAAGAUUCCCAGUAUAUAUAAUCCCACAAAACACAUCAAACGUUAUUAACCCUGAAAAUUUUAAACAAUUUUCCUGGGUUUUUUUUGGUUUGCGAAGUUCUUUUCCUCCAAAUAUUCUGAAAAUAAAGUUCAGAAAUUACUUAUUUUUAAAAUGUAAAUUUAAUUUGUUUCAAAUUGUGGGCAAAAACCUUAAUCAGCAUGCUAAAAGAACUGACUUUUCUUAAUUUAGAAUUACUAAACACAACCAUUUUCUUACAUUUAGUGUAAACGUUUGUGCGUAUGGCUUAUAUUUAAUACACCAAAAGAGCUACUUUGUUGAUUUUAAUUUUAUACUCUUUGUAAGCUAUUUUUUUCUUCUUUUUGACAUUUCUGUUUUACCACUCAAUUUUUACAUUUUAUAAGUUAUUUGGAACAGAAUGGUAUGAAAUAGACCAAAAUACCUGAUCUUAGUUGUUUUUAAUUUACAGGCUGUGUCUGUGAAACUUUAAGGGGAACAUUUGGUGGAAGACAAUGGCAUGACAUAUACUGACAGAACUGUUUUUUGUUGCGUUAGAUGUUAUAUCUGAACCUUUUUGACAUUUUAUGUUAAUUUUGCGAGGAAGGACCAUAUAUAUAUACACAGAAGAAGAAUUCAAUUUUACACCUUGCAAGCUUUGUAUAAAUUCUUACUGGGGAGGACUCCGUGCAAUAUAUCGAAAUGACUGAUCCUUCUCGAUUUAAAUUUGAUGUGUUCUAAAUCGUAUAUAGGUUUGGAAAUUUUGUGUAAGAUUUAAUGGGUAAGGGCUAGAUGCAAUAUGUCAAAAAAACUUUUUUUGUUGAAUCAGAAGCACUCCCUACAACCAUUCUUUUUUUUACAGUUUGUGAAGCUUUUGUGAGGAAAUAGUGUAUGCAAUAUUAUCGAAAUAACUGAUUUUUGUUGCAAACUGUUUUUUUUUUGGCAUUUUGGAUUAAAAUAUUGUUUUAGAGGGCAUAUGCAGUAGAUAUAUGUACUGAAAUAGUUAAAUUUUGCAAACUUUGAUUUUGUUGUUACCUCUCAUUUUUUACAUUUUGAUUAAACUUUUGUGGGAGACCGUCGGUAUGCGAAGGACCAAAAUAAGAGAUUUUAGUAUUAUUUAGAAUUUGUAUUUUGUGUUGCAAAAUUGGUGCAAAAAUUGACAUAAAAUGAACUUAUAUAUAGAAUGAUUGCUGUUGUUUAACAUGACUCAUUAUGACUUAUAUAUAUAUUUUAUGAAAAUUUGUGACAGAAUAUUAUGUGA
Long non-coding RNA from Hydractinia symbiolongicarpus, 1454 nucleotides. RefSeq lists it as uncharacterized. NCBI's taxonomy places the organism in Eukaryota, Metazoa, Cnidaria, Hydrozoa, Anthoathecata, Hydractiniidae. The record is from RefSeq and is a predicted model, not a curated record. The transcript is spliced from 2 exons.